This is a non-coding RNA of Oryza sativa Japonica Group (Japanese rice), 901 nucleotides long. The record is from RefSeq and is a predicted model, not a curated record. NCBI's taxonomy places the organism in Eukaryota, Viridiplantae, Streptophyta, Magnoliopsida, Poales, Poaceae.
AUUUUCAAAGGCCAUCAGCUACGUUUUCUUGUUGCUAUUAGUGAAGUGUAAGGUAGGUUAUACUUCUGUUCAAAAAACAGGUAGGUUAUACUAGCAAGGCCUAUUCCUAUGUUUUGCAUCAUAGGUUAUCAAUUUCAAGAUUACAGUUGUUCGUAGAUGGAUAUAUUUAAGCUCCUCUUUGCGGCAUAUCUUAAACAAAUGAAGAAUUACAUCUAUAUGCUUGUAUCAUAGCUCAGAGAUUUCCCCAGGUUAGGGCCUGCUUGGAAGUCCGGUUUUUGGCCUAAUGCCCAUACGACUGGAAAAUGGAUGACCUUGGAAGGCCACACUAUUUUUCACACAUUUUUUCUGAGAAAUCUCAGGCUUGCCUUGAGCUCGAGCUUGCUCCACCCUCCUCGCCUCAGUGCCUCAUUGCCACUGCCACUUCUACAGUAACCACCAACAUCCUCCUGGCUUGAAUGAGCGACGCGGGCCUCCUCCAGCUUGAAUCCAUGCCACUGCCCCCCUCAUAUUGGUGAUCCAAGUUGUCAUGUCGUCUGUUCUCGAUACAGCCCUCCUGGAGAUAGGCAGCAAACCCAUUAGCAGGUGCAGCAGCGGUCACUCUGUUAGUUACUCUAGAGAACAUGGGCAUCAACAACAGAUGGCGAUGCCAGUGACCUCUGCCAGUGCUGAGUGGAUUUCCUCUGCCUUUGAUAGCAUAGCACACGCCUCAUCCUCAUCACCCCUGUCCCUGAAUGUGCAUAGCUUUUUCAAUGAUUCGGUCUGAACUUUAUACCAGUGAGUAUAAAUUAUGUUGUGUUGUUGCAUGUAUAGAUUCAGAAUUUGCUUUCCUUGAUUCUAAAACAUUUGUUGUGUACUCGCUUCUAAAGCAUGCUAUUGGGCAAUACACAGUCAAAUUUGCUCA